This 326-nucleotide long non-coding RNA is filed under the name Bos taurus (domestic cattle). RNAcentral describes it as "long non-coding RNA NONBTAT015325". Lineage: Eukaryota; Metazoa; Chordata; Mammalia; Artiodactyla; Bovidae. The record is from RNAcentral.
AAAAGAGCAUACGCGUGAAUCUUUCUUUCUUUCUUACUAAUUUAAUUUGCUAAAAAAAAAAAAAAUCACUCAGUAAGACGGUUCAUACAAGUUAUUAUUGUUGGAAAUUUGGUUUGUUUUCCUCAAAGUCACUGACUUCAAGUAGUUCAUUUCUGUUUUUUAAAAAAAGGUGUUUGCUAUGUGGGAAAAUCAAUCACUGCCAGGAUUCUCUCAUUUCUGUACUGUUUUAUAGAAUUGAAUUUUAACUUUUCUCACACCAGCAAGUAUUUUACAGGUGCCUUGGAUUAAAACAAAGUCGAUUUUACAAUUUUACUGUAAAUCUUUGU